AAUGGGGGCAACCCUGACGCAGCAACGCCGCGUGAGUGAGGAAGGUUUUCGGACUGUAAAGCUCUGUCGAGCGGGAAGAAGUGCUUGGUGGCUAAUAUCCAUCAAGCUUGACGGUACCGCUAAAGGAAGCACCGGCUAACUCCGUGCCAGCAGCCGCGGUAAUACGGGGGGUGCAAGCGUUGUUCGGAAUUAUUGGGCGUAAAGAGCGUGUAGGCGGCUGGAUAAGUCAGAUGUGAAAUCCCUGGGCUUAACCCAGGACGUGCAUUUGAAACUAUCCAGCUUGAGUAAGGGAGAGGAAAGUGGAAUUCCUGGUGUAGAGGUGAAAUUCGUAGAUAUCAGGAGGAACACCGGUGGCGAAGGCGACUUUCUGGCCCUAUACUGACGCUGAGACGCGAGAGCGUGGGUAGCAAA
Molecule: ribosomal RNA, 411 nt
Filed under: uncultured bacterium
Lineage: Bacteria
Description: bacterial SSU rRNA
Rfam family: Bacterial small subunit ribosomal RNA
Source: RNAcentral